GUCCUGUGUCUAAACAGGUGAAAUGUCAGUCCUGUGUCUAAACAGGUGAAAUGUCAGUCCUGUGUCUAAACAGGUGAAAUGUCAGUCCUGUGUCUAAACAGGUGAAAUGUCAGUCCUGUGUCUAAACAGGUGAAAUGUCAGUCCUGUGUCUAAACAGGUGAAAUGUCAGUCCUGUGUCUAAACAGGUGAAAUGUCAGUCCUGUGUCUAAACAGGUGAAAUGUCAGUCCUGUGUCUAAA
Oncorhynchus keta (chum salmon) is the source of this 238-nucleotide long non-coding RNA. RefSeq lists it as uncharacterized. The record is from RefSeq and is a predicted model, not a curated record. The transcript has 3 exons. NCBI's taxonomy places the organism in Eukaryota, Metazoa, Chordata, Actinopteri, Salmoniformes, Salmonidae.